Molecule: long non-coding RNA, 386 nt
Organism: Cynara cardunculus var. scolymus (artichoke)
Lineage: Eukaryota; Viridiplantae; Streptophyta; Magnoliopsida; Asterales; Asteraceae
Exons: 2
Source: RefSeq, a predicted model, not a curated record
GUGCUAGGGUUUCCUUUCACUUCCCUCUUUGUUCAUCUCGCCGCCAUCACUUUCCCCUUAUAAAUACAGUCAUUGAGGAUCACCAAUUUCAACACAAGCAGUUCUAUUCUCCUCCAAUGCUUUCUGUUUCUCACGAAGACGUAUUUUGAACAUCUUGAUGGAAGAUUACUGAGCUCAACAGUUUUGUUAGGGUUUAUGUUCCUUUAAUUUUAAGCCGUUUUAUGAGUUGUUUUUGACUUAAGAUGUGAUUUCUUCUGAAGUGAAGGAAAAUUUAGAAAUUGGAAUAGAAUAUUUUCACAAUGUAUAAGCUCUAUCCGAUAUUUCUCAAUUUCAUACCGUUUUUAUUUUAAAGCUUUUGAGAUAUGAAGGUUCGUUUGUUGAUUGAA